This 442-nucleotide ribosomal RNA is filed under the name uncultured bacterium. RNAcentral's name for it is "partial 16S ribosomal RNA". It matches the Rfam family "Bacterial small subunit ribosomal RNA", at positions 338 to 795 of the family's 1533-position model. The record is from RNAcentral.
CCUACUGGUGGCAGCAGUGGGGAAUAUUGGGCAAUGGACGCAAGUCUGACCCAGCAACGCCGCGUGAAGGAAGAAGGCUUUCGGGUUGUAAACCUCUUUUAAGGGGGAAGAGCAGAAGACGGUACCCCUUGAAUAAGCCACGGCUAACUACGUGCCAGCAGCCGCGGUAAUACGUAGGUGGCAAGCGGUGUCCGGAUUUACUGGGUGUAAAGGGCGUGCAGGCGGAGAGACAAGUCAGAUGUGAAAGCCACGGGCUCAACCCGUGAACUGCAUUUGAAACUGUUUCUCUAGAGUGUCGGAGAGGUAAGCGGAAUUCCUAGUGUAGCGGUGAAAUGCGUAGAUAUUAGGAAGAACACCAGUGGCGAAGGCGGAUUACUGGACGGUAACUGACGGUGAGGCGCGAAAGCGUGGGGAGCAAACAGGAUUAGAUACCCGGAUAGUC